CGCUCGAUAGAACGCCUCCUCCUCUUCCACCUCAGUCUUCCGCCCGUUCUAGGGUUUACGCGCGCCGCAUUGCCGCUAGGGCUUCGGACGAGCUCCCAGGAGAUGCUCCUCACUAGGUGGGUCCUUGUUCGAUUUGGUUCGAUGGUUGAAACACGUGGAUUUUGUGGUUGGUGGAAGGACGGAGUAUGACCGAGGCGUCAAGACUUUUCUCCGCUGAGGGAAGGUUGUCUCAGGUGGAAUGCGCCAUCAAGUUGGGGUCGACUGCGAUCGCACUGAAGACGAAAGAGUGCGUCGUGCUCGCAGUUGAGUAGCGCAUCACUUCAGCUCUGUUGGCACGUUUUCACCUUUUCCUGUUGGUCUAACUAAAAGAAUUGGAAGUCUCAAACAGGGACUCUUCUUCAUUCUGAAAGUUCAUAUUACGUAUGUUGCAAGCUAAGUUUGAACUCUUUGGUCUGGAUCGGGAUGCAUCAACGAAUUACCUAUAAAAAUGUAGAAUCCUUUGAAGAAUAAGGAAUGAUAAAGCAUUGUAUGCCUGUGACAUUUAUGUGCCUAUAAAUCUGGUUUUGUGUGACUAUAUGUUCAUGUGCUAAGUGAAUCCAUAUUUGCCAAUGGCUGAGUGAUAAAAGGUUGGCAUGUGACACCUAAACCUUCACACUACUGAUGCUUGAAUCCCAGUGGUAAAAACAGACGGUGCAUUGAGCUCCAAUAAUAGUUAGAUGACACCUUACAAUGAAUGAAACUAUUGCAGCUAGGCUUCCAUAGGAUUAGUGGCAUUGGUCACAUUUACUUAAGUUGUGCUAUUCAAGAAAAAUAUGAGGCUGUCCAAGUUCACCUAUUGUUAGCAAGAAAAAUACUUCGUGAACUGUGCAAGUUCACCUAUUGUUAGCAUGGUGCAAUCAGCUUUUGUUAAAAGCAUUUUCCUUACGAUCUCUUGCAAAUUUGAUGAUUCGGGAAAUCUUUAUCAGAUACGUUUUUCUUGUAUCCUGGGUGUCAUUUAGAGAGCCCAUAUAACAACCAGUCAAUUGGAGGUUGAGGGUGGAAUUAUCUGUGUCCUGCUGGUUGAGUUUUAGUAGAAUUUGUGCUAGUCAAAUACUUUCAGUGAGCUGCUUGAUGAAUGUGGUCCAAUAGGAAGUGUCCUGUAUCCUGAUUGGGUUCUAUGUGUUACCUUACUGUUAUAAAAUUAAAAUUUGAAGCUUGUAUGUAAUCUUUGUAUGUCUUUGUUCCAAGCUAUUCGACUUUGUUUCACUACCUAUUGCAUUACAGAAACCAAGCAGUCUAGAAAAGGUUAUGGAGAUUGACGAGCACAUAAGAUGUGCUGACCAAAAUGCUUAAGCUGAAGUUGAUAGUAGUACACUCAUCAAACCCUUAUAAGCUAAUCUUAAUCUUGCCCACUUUCGAUGUGGGACUAAUCAGGAAUGUUACAAUCACCCCCACUCAAAGGCUUAACGUCCUCGUCAAGCCCCAACAUAACCCAGAUUAGGCCUACUCGAGCCCCCUCACCAUGCCCAAAUGCUAGGUCGGCUCUGAUACCAAAUGUCAUGACCCGAGCCUGAUGGGCUAACUAGCCUAUCAACUUCGUUUGGUCUAAACCACUGACCAAAAUGCUUAAGCUGAAGUUGAUAGUAGUACACUCAUCAGACCCUUAUAAGUCAAUCUUAAUCUUAUCCACUUUCGAUGUGGGACUAAUCAGGGAUGUUACAUGUGCUGAGUGGUUUGAUAGUGGAUGCCUGCACUCUUGUUGAGCAUGCACGUGUUGAAACCCAAGUGUUGUUCACAUAACACUUUUUUGAUAAUAAAGUAGUUCAUGUCUUAACUGCUCUUUACGAGAAGUAACUAGUUGGCUGAAUUUGUUUAGUUUAGGGAUAUCAACCACUUCUCUCCGAGUUACUCUUAGGCUUUGCACAAACAGCAAAUACAAUUAAAAUUUUAAAAUAUAUAAAUACUGUUGAAUUCAAACUUAACCUUAUUUGAGACUCUGGUCUAUUCCACUGUUCAAUAUUUGAGACAAGACCCUAAUAGUUUUGGAUUGCAUAAUCAAAUAGUGUAAGCAUACUGGUAGUAUGUAUAUGUCGACAGUUUCUUUUCAAGUAUAAGAUGAUUAUGUAUGCAAAAGUUCUUCAAUCAUGUUUUAGAGAUUGCAGCACAUUCUGAAGCAUGUCAUGAAUGUCUUUUCAUCAAAAAAUGGCAUCCAUGAAUCCACGGUUGUGUUAAAUAAAACUGCAUUAUGUAAUUGGGAACCAUUACACAGUUGGAAAGGAUUCGUUGGUCAACCUUGUUAGUGUGAAGGUGCUUCCCAUUAAUUCUGUCAAUGAGAAUGCAGUGUGUAUGAUUUUCUUUUUUAAUGCAAUGAAUCUGUGUUUUCAUAUAUGAAUAAAUCAGUAUUCAAGUCAAUUACCACAAUUUGCAUUCCUACGUCUUCUGCUUGACCAUUCACCACUUAAAACUUUGUUGGUAAAUGAAGCUGUUACCUUUAUCUAUAGCAUCAUGCUCCUCCUUUUUUUUCUUUUUGCUUAAAUAAGUAGCGCAUGCAGAUAUUUCACUGAUCCAUCUGGCACAUUUUUGGCAAUGCAAUGCAAAAGUUAUAGGUUCUGGUUCUGAAGGAGCGGAUAGUUGUUUGCAAGAGCAAUAUAACAAGGACCUAACUCUUCAACUAGCUGAAACGACAGCUCUUUCCAUACUGAAGCAAGUGAUGGAAGAAAAAGUAACACCAAACAAUGUUGAUGUUGUGAAGGUGGCUCCUUUUUAUAUUAUUCUCCUUCCGAGGUGGAAGCUGUCAUCAAUCGGCUCAGAUACCUGACUUGAUUCCCUUGUAUUCCUUCAUAGAAGGCAUUAUCUUAGACAAACAUUUAUUGUCUUCUGAUCAUUAUUUCGUUUACACUGCAUUUUCUUCUGCUUUGGCCUACCGGAUGUACUUAUUUUUUCGUUGCCUUUAUUGUUCACAAUUAAUCAUAUUAGAUGUUUAUGUACACUAGAAAGUUAAAUCUUCCUCAUAUGAUCUGUUGUUUGUGGUCUAGGUAAUAUAAUUGGAUCUCUGAUGAAUUGGAUUGUGCAACUACCUCAACAAAUAGCCUUCCCAUUGGUUGGGGCAUUGUCGACUGGAAUAGUUUGUAUGGUAGCUUUGAGAUGAUCCAGCAAUUCAUGGAAUUGCUGAAAAAGGAAGAAAAAGGAAGCAUCCAAAGCAAUCAACAUGUUAAGCUUGUUCUAGGUGAUACCUUCCUAAAUGCCAUGAUACAUCUUCAACUCAAUGCCUCUCCAUUUUCUCUUCCCCUUUCUCCUUUUCUAGAGAUCGUUUCUUUUCCAUGCUGAUAACAACAUCUCCAAAAGUGAUACAUUGCAUUUGGAUCAAAUGCCUUCUCUCUCAGAAUCAAAGUGCAUUCAACAAAGGUUACAUUCCAAUCACUGUACAUGGAAGAAAAAUACCUGGGUUCUUGUCUUCUCAUAUGGGUCAAACCCAUGGUUGAAUUCAUUGUACUUGCAACGACAGGUUUGUAGUGGUCAAAAAGAUCUUGUGCUCAUAUUCUUGAAUUGUAUUUGAGAUGGCAAUUUCAAUUCGAACUGUUGUGCACUACUCAUGUUAGGGUCAUGGAUUGUAUGGGUCAAACCCAUGUUAUGGUCAUGCAUCCAAGGUUGACUUCACUGUAGGAUGGCAAUUUCAAUUUUACCUGCACUACUCUUG
RNA transcript from Musa acuminata AAA Group (dessert banana), 3676 nucleotides. It is a transcript of the gene named proteasome subunit alpha type-5-like, with no coding region annotated. The record is from RefSeq and is a predicted model, not a curated record. Lineage: Eukaryota; Viridiplantae; Streptophyta; Magnoliopsida; Zingiberales; Musaceae. The transcript is spliced from 5 exons.